RNAcentral lists this long non-coding RNA (542 nucleotides) under Junco hyemalis (dark-eyed junco). RNAcentral's name for it is "lncRNA (ENSJHYG00000010992.1)". The record is from RNAcentral. Lineage: Eukaryota; Metazoa; Chordata; Aves; Passeriformes; Passerellidae.
AAAGUAUAUGAUCUUUAAGGUCCCUUCCAACCUAGGCAACUCUAUGGUUCUAUGAUGUGAUGAUUCUGUGAUUCUGUGUGCUGUGAAAUAGCUUUGACCAAAAUCACCUCACCCUGCACACCUGUGCCAUGCUGUUAAAGCACUUUCUGCCCUUUCAGGCAGAAGAGGGAAACUGGAACUCCUGGGUGAGUGCUAAAUAGUGCACAGACUUGGAGGGGCACCAUGAGCCUUGCAAGGAUAUGGACUAGAUGCCUAAGGAAAAGCUGAGGAUCUGGAAUUCCACACAAGCUUAGGCGUGAUCCAUAUGAUGGAGCAAUGUAGCCAAGCUGUGGGCUGACCGAGGUUUGCAUCACUGCCCUGACCCAGAUUGCAUCUGCAGUCAUCUGGAACUGACUACACGCCUGAACUGAUGAAAGAGGCUGUGGAAAUAUGGAUCUCUGGGGCCUUGGCAAGAUGCUUAUGCCAUAUUCACCUGUCCUCUGGAAGACAAAAGAGUGAGGAUCAGCAGUGUCAUUUAUUCUGCAAAAACUGAACAGAUGAGA